UCCCUUAGUCGAGAAAUCACUUUUCUCCCCAAAAAUUCCCCCCAAAUUUUCCCCAAAAAUCCCCCAAAUCUAGUACCCUAGUCUGCUGUGCCCCAACCAUCAUUGCUACAUUGCCGUUUACUGACCCUUCUGUUGUUGCUCGUCGACCGUCGACCGUGAAGUCGUGUACCACCGCACUCGUCUGCCGUCGCUUGGGUAAAAUGAUCGGUAAGGUUUUCCUCUUUCUCUUCUGCUCGCGAAUAGUUUUGCACCUGGUUUAGGGUUUAGGUUACAACCUCUCAUACAUUAUUUUACACCUAAUAAUGUAAAGUACAUGCGCAAAUUGUUGAUGGGUUUCAGACAAAUUUACAGUAUCCUGUUUGGGAUAGAAAAGACCGGGAAUUUGUUCUUAGAAUUUUAUCUAUAGCCUUUGCAUAAUUUAGUUCACGAUUUGUUUAUUUCCUGUUUGUAGUUCCAAAUAGUUUGGAACUGUUCAUAAUUUUUUUCAUCAUUUUCACUCUCCUGUUUGUAUUAUACGAAAUGAUAAUAUUUGGUCCCAUAAUUGCUCUUACUGAAACCAAAAGUACUAUAUCUCAUGUCAUACGCAUGAAAAAAAUAAUUAUUUGUAAACAAAAAUCAAAGCAAACUAAGCAGUAUAUUCCGUCUUGUUGUACAUUGUUAUCCUGCUGAUCAUGAAAAAAUUUGUUCAUACAAUUAAUAUAGUUGCAAGAAGGGACAUACCAUAUAAGGAUCCGUUGUUGUCUGGAAGAAUGGCAAUGAGUAAUUCAAGUUAUUUUCCUUCAAGCUUGUUUGCAGCAGCAUGGUAUACGUAUUUCAGUGCCUUGUUAACUUGAUCUGGUCUAGCAGAAUAGAUAGGAAUUACGGGGUCUCGAUCGAAUUCCUGCAUUUAAAAGACCAAAUUGAUCAAAGGUUCAGGCACCAAACGGCAUCCAUUGGAAGCUGUUAUAUAGAUAAAUUAGUUGGUUAGUGAAAACAAAGGUUAGGAAAAUUCACCAUGCCAGAAAUUUGGCACAUUUGAACCAACUGUUGACAAAAACCUUAUGCAGUGCUCUGUUGAACACUUCGUUGGAAUAUACCUUAUCAAAUAAUUGCUGUAUUUGGUCCCAUAGGCUGUCAAGUAAUGCAUUUCUAAUAACAUUUCCCGUUGCAUAAUAAUUCUCACUCUAUAGCUUAUCAAAUAAUUAUUACUCUAUAGCUUAUAAAAUAAUAUAAAUCUAAUAACAUUUCUCGUUGCAAAUUUUUGUUCAUAAUUUCUUUAUAUCCUGUUUGUAGUUUACAGUAGUUUGUAACCGUUCAUAAUUGCUGUUUGCGUUGUUGUGCUUAGCUUGCUGGGUUGGAAGGAUAACGCUAUUCUUUGGCGUGAAAGGUCAAUUUUUUUGCCGCUAGCUUGCUGCGUAUUUCGCUGCAGAACUUGUCUACUUUUUUGCGUGGAAGGUAAAUAUUUAUUCUUCUGUUGUAAUGUAUCAGCCUUAGUUUGAUUGAAAGAACAAAAUUUCAAACAGAGUAAUGGAGUUGAGUUUGAAUAUCUUAAUAACCAAUAAAAAAAAGAUAGAGAUAUUACCUCUUCUUUUAGCCAUGCAACAUCAUAAGAAGAGCAUAAUAAUCAUAAUGGUUACUAUACCCACAAUUACUGAUGUAAUAACAAUAACUUUAGUGCUUUUCCCUUUAUCUGCAAAUCGAAAAACUUGUUGGUUAAUAAAACUUCCACACCAAAAAAGCAGAUUAAUUGAGGCAAUUCAACACAUGGUCGACAUGGAAGACAAGUUUGAUUCUAAUUUGAUUAUAAUGUAGUAUCAAUGUAGGAAUCAUUAGAUGAUGGGGAAUCAUUAGACAAGUAGGUAGACUAUUGCUGUUAGUUUAAUGGAUUUAAUGGAUUGUUUUUUUGUCAUGUUAUUUUGGGAACAUAUAUAUAUGUUCAAUUUUAAACCUCUAAUAUCAUCUAAUUCACUGUCAUGUUUCAACAUAUAUUCAUAUAUAUUUUUUCGGUUUUUUAAGUUUUUUUGGCUUUAAUUACUUCUGUUUUUUCGGUAUGUACUAAUGUAUUUCUGUCUUUUUUUUCCAGGAUUUGCUUCGGAAUUGAGUGGAUUUAAGGUAUUUAUUCCUAUUUUUCUCUAUUUAGGUUUCUUAUAAAAAAAAGUCAAAUUGUUAAAUUUUUAUAUGUCAUUAUAUUUUAGUUGUAUAGUUUAAUUAUUAUUUUUCAUUUUCAGAUGGGAGUUUUAAUUACCAUUUUAGCUAAAUUUGCAUUUUACUUUGCAUCUUAUUACAUUUUUUGAUGUCUAAAUUUUCUGCUCAAGAUAUUCGGCAAAGAUCACUUUGUUUUAAACUAUUAAAAUUCAGAAUACAACUCUUAAACAAAUUUAUAUAUUUCAGUAAUUGAAUAAAUUAUGGGCGAAUCAUUUUAUCGGUUUAGCGUUUAUAAAUCAUCGAUUUCCGAUAUUAUGUGUUGCAAUUAUAAAUUUUACUUCAAAUUAAUGAAUAAUUAUCGAUCUUAACUUACAUAAUGGGAAUUCGGUAACGAUUAAGAAUCUUUUACAUACAAAAAAAUUUGAAUAUUUAUUUAUAUUUUUUAUUAAAAUAAAAAUAUACUUUUUCGAAAUAUAUUUAUUUUGUAAUGGCAAUUCAAAGUAUUAUUUCUUUAAUAACAAAAAUUGUUUUCAUAAAUAUAAACAAAUUAAUUAUUUCUUGUAAUUCGAAGUCAAUGUUCUUGUAUGAUUGAACUAACAUCAUUUGUUGUUUGAAUUAAUAAAAGCUACAAAAUAUACAUCAUGUCGUAACGAUCUUUGAAUUAUCCGGAGAUUAACACUACAAUAUUAUAUUUUAAAUGAAAUGUAUUCAAAGUUAUAUUGAUAUAUUUAUAUACAGUUUUAAUAUAUUAAUUAAAAUUAUAUUGAUAUAUUUGAAAAAUUUAAAGCGUUUAUAAAUCAUAAUUUACAUACAUAACACAUAGCCUACAUGACUUAUAUAGUACACAACUUAAAUAAUUUAAAUAACUUACAUUCAUAACUUACUCAAACUUAUAUUGAAUUACCUUACAUAAUACAUAACUUAUAUAAAAUUUUUAUAUAAACUUACAUAAUACAUUGCUUACAUAUUAACUUACAUAAGUUAUCUACAAGCUUAUAUUUAAACUUUCAUAACUUACAUAAUAACAUAUGGACUUACAUUAUACAUAGCUUAAAUAACUUACAUAAUACAAAACUUACAUAACUUAAAUAUCUUACACAACUUACACAACUUAAAUAAUUUAAAUAACUUACAUAAUACAUAAUAACUUACAACAACUUAACAUACAUUAAUUUGAUAACUUACAUAAGUUACAUAACUUACAUAAUACAUAAAAAUAUAUCAUAUCACAAAUAUCUGAAAUUCAUCUAUGCUUAUAACUGGCGUUUUAACUUACCCGUGCUAAUUAUUGUGAACGUCAGAAUUCAAGAAUUAAGAAAUGGACCGGUCUUGGAUGAAUUUGUCAAGGGUUAGCAAUAGUUAUCGAAAUGGAGUACAGUAUUUUUUAAAUUUUGCAUUUCAACAUGCAAGCCAAGAGAACAUGAUUCUAUGCCCGUGUAAGAAGUGUGUCAACAUAAACUGGCAUUAUCGUGAGGUUGUAUAUGAGCAUCUAAUUAUUGAUGGGUUUGUUCGGGGUUAUAAACAAUAGUUAUUUCAUGGAGAAUGCCUGCGUAGUACUUCCUCUUCAAUGAUGGAUGUAUCUUACUCUGGUACUGCUUACCAUCAGUCUGAUAGAGGGGAUGACAUGGAAGGUAUGUUGCGAGAUGCAUUUAAUAUGCAUAAUCAUGGUGUCCAGUCGUUCCCAGCGGACUUUGUGGCUUCUGCUGAUUGUAAUAUUGGGAGAAAUGCUUUUACCGAACUGAGAAGUAGUGUACCUCAUGAAGAGCCGAAUGAAGAAGCGGCGAAGUUCUAUACGCUACUUAAUGACAUGAACGAAGCACUGUAUGAGGGAUCAAAAUUUUCAAAAAUGUCUUUCUGUGUUCGUCUUUUUCAAUUAAAAUGUUUGGGAGGGUGGACCGGGAACUAUUUGACAAUGCUGUUAGAGUUCUUGAGAGAGAUGUUUCCCUUUACAAAAAUCCCUCAGUCAUGCAAAGAUAUGAAGAAAAUGAUAAAAGAUUUAGGCCUUGGAUACAACAAAAUCCAUAGUUGCCCAAAUGACUGCAUGUUGUAUUGGGGCGAACGGAGAAAUCAACAGUGCUGUCAUGUAUGCGGCCACUCUCGUUGGGUAAGUAAAAAUACAGACGGUGGGAACGACGAUGAAAAUGUUGCACAACCAAGUCAGAAGCCGGUCAAGAUUUUACGAUAUUUUUCGCUAAUACCAAGGCUUCAAAGGCUUUUCAUGUCGUCGAAGACAGCGGAGUCUAUAACGUGGCACCAUGACGGACGAACCGAUGAUGGGAAGAUGAGGCAUCCGGUAGAUUCUUUAGCUUAGAAAUCAUUUGACAAUAAAUAUCCAAGCUUUGCAAGCGAUCCUAGGAGUGUGAGGCUUGGGCUAGCAUCCGAUGGAUUUAAUCCUUUCAAGAUCAUGAGUACUGCGUAUAGUACUUGGCCAGUAGUUCUUGUUCCUUACAAUCUGCCUCCGUGGAUUUGCAUGAAGCAAUCUUCCCUUAUUUUAUCUAUGAUUAUCCCUGGGGAGAAAGGGCUUGGGAAUGACAUCGACGUUUAUUUACAGCUACUUAUUGAAGAGUUAAAACAAUUAUGGGCUGGUGUCGAGACAUACGAUGUGUUGAGAAAAGAGAACUUCAAUUUACGUGCAGCUUUGAUGUGGACCAUUAAUGACUUUCCUGCUUAUGCCAAUUUAUCCGGUUGGAGUACCAAGGGUCGUUACGCGUGUCCUUGUUGUGCUGCACAAACAUGUUUGCAAUGGUUGUACAAUGGGAAGAAGUUCUUUUACAUGGGGCAUCGUCGGUGGUUACCAGAAAAUCAUAGAUUUAGAUUUCAGAGCUCUGCAUUUGACGGCACUGAAGAGUUCAGAGAAGCUCCUUCCCAGACCAGUGGCUCUGAAAUCUUGUUCAUGUUGGAAGAUAUGAAUUUCAUUUAUGGGAAGAUGAACCAACCGCCAAACACGCAGAGAAACAGAAGAUCAAAUGAUGAAGCUGAUGAAAGCUCCGACGAAGAGGACGAUCCUAAUGAGGCGGACUUAUGGAAAAAAAAAGUAUUUUUUUUGAGUUGCCUUAUUGGGAGCAUAAUCUUUUACGACACAAUCUUGAUGUUAUGCACAUUGAGAAAAAUGUCUGCGAGAACAUUGUAGGUACAAUUUUAAACGUCGAUGGAAAAUCAAAAGACAAUCUUCAGAGUCGACUUGAUUUAGUCCAAAUGGGAAUUCGUCCUGAUCUUCAUCCCAAUCCACUUCCGAAUGGGAAAUAUCGGUUGCCGCCUUCUAUUUUCUCAAUGUCCAAGACGGAGAAAGAACUGUUUUGCAUGGUGUUGAAGAAUAUAAAGGUUCCGGAUGCGUAUGCAUCAAAUAUAUCUCGAUGUGUUAGUGUUAAAGAUCGAAGGUUAUAUUCGCUAAAAUCACAUGACUAUCACAUCUUGAUGCAAGAUUUAAUGCCAGUUGCUCUAUGAUGUUGUAUGUCCAAGAAGGUGACGUCUUGUAUGAUUGAACUAUCCAACAUAAUGAAAGCCAUCUGUGGCAAAGUUUUGGAUGUUCAAGAACUUCAGAAGGUACAAGAUCGAGCCGCUUUGACUUUAUGCAACAUGGAGAAAAUCUUCCCACCUUCCUUCUUCACCAUUAUGGUUCACUUGAUAAUUCAUCUCCCGCACGAAGCAAUUCUUGGCGGACCUGUUUUCUAUCGAUGGAUGUAUCCCAUAGAAAGGUGUUAAAGAAGUAUUUUUACAAUUUUUCUUCAUUCACCUCUAUGCCUUUAGUUACAACUUUUUCAAAUGUUGUAUAUUGUUGAUAGAUUCCUAUCCAAAUUAAAGUCUUACUGCCGCAACAAGCGAUAUCCAGAAGGAUCGAUUGCUGAAGGCUACUUGGCAGAGGAAUGUAUGACCUUCUGCUCAAGAUAUUUAGACGAUGUCGAAACAAGGUUGAACAGACCAAAUAGGAAUGCUGGACUCACAGACUAUAACUUAGCCGAAACUUAUCUGUUCCAAAGUUUUGGAGAACCAAUCGGCAAAGUUGAAAUUGCAGAAUUAGAUCAUUUAUCGUGGGUACAAGCACAUCGAUAUGUUCUGUUUCACCACGAAUCAUUGGAACCUUUACGGAAGUAAGUUACACAAAUUUUAAAAAUAUUUAUCGAACUAAAAAUUGUUUAUCUUCUAACAAAGAUCACAUUUUAUUUAACAUAGUGAGUACAAACAAAUAUUGAGAUCUCGAUCGCACUCCCGAAGAACACAACAUCGAGAUAUCAAUAAGUUGUUUACAUAAUCUUUUUAUUAAUGGUUGUGCCAAACGGUAUGCAGUUCGAGCUUCCGCUUACAAAUUAUAAUGCUUUCGCAUAACAUUUUUGUUUUAUCAGUUUACUUUCCAUUCAAUAGGUUUGGAGUGGGAAGAGCGUAAACGACGAAGUUAAAUGGCUCUCCCAAGGUCCAAAUCGAGUGGUUAAAAGAUAUAGUGCGUUCCUCAUCAACGGAUUCAGAUUUCAUACAAAAUAUCGCGAGAGGUUGAGGAGAACGCAAAAUUGUGGAAUAGUUGUUAAUUCUGCAAUUACAAGUUAUGCUAGCGCUAGGGACAAUAAUCCUGUCAAGGGAAAUGUGGAAUAUUUCGGACAGCUUACUGACAUUAUUGAGUUGGAUUACUACGGCAAAUGGAAAGUUGUCUUAUUUCGAGGUGAUUGGGCCGAUGUUAAUACAGCUCGUGGAAUCAAGCAAGAUCAAUUUGGUUUUACAAUGGUGAACUUUGACCGAUUGAUUCACACAGGACAACAACUGAUAGAUGAGCCGUAUGUAUUCUCAAGUCAAGUCAAACAAGUUUUUUACUCAAAAGAUCCAACUGAUGAGGGUUGGUACGUUGUACUCCGUAACAUCCCUAGAGACUUGUUUGACAUGGGUAGUGGAAGUAGAGAUAACAUCGACGACAGAUCAGAAACUUUGCCAUUUCUAGAACAAAACUUAAACGAUAAUAUCCCUAGUACUAGUGCACAAUUUCAAUGGGUUCGUCAGGAUACAGAUGAAGAUAUUUACGAAUAAUGAUGUAGUAAAAUUUUACGAAUGUUUAAUUAUAUGUAAUAUCAUCAUUUAUAUCUUGGUCUCAUUAUAUCAUAUCAACUGUUUUAUAUGUGUUGUUAUUGUUGUAAUUAGUUAUUAAGUUUUCAACUAUUUUAUGUGUAUUGCAGAUAAAAUGCCCAGAAGAAAAAUUCUAAGGGGAAGCAUUGUUCAAAAUGAUCUAAACUCGACAGAAACAAAUAGUACUGAACAACAGACAGCAAUU
Molecule: long non-coding RNA, 7375 nt
Filed under: Gossypium barbadense (sea-island cotton)
Lineage: Eukaryota; Viridiplantae; Streptophyta; Magnoliopsida; Malvales; Malvaceae
Description: long non-coding RNA (GBAR_LNC019076)
Source: RNAcentral